UCCUGUAUCGAAAGUGACCAUGGCGUGCAUGUUGCCAGGUCAUUGAUAGUACAGGAAAAUCAAAGUGAGAGCAUUUUCCCGUGUUUGAAAGAUCUGUUCUUUUUGAACCCUGGCGCUCUCAGACA
Molecule: non-coding RNA, 125 nt
Organism: Oryzias latipes (Japanese medaka)
Lineage: Eukaryota; Metazoa; Chordata; Actinopteri; Beloniformes; Adrianichthyidae
Source: Rfam